Long non-coding RNA from Labrus bergylta (ballan wrasse), 610 nucleotides. RefSeq lists it as uncharacterized. Lineage: Eukaryota; Metazoa; Chordata; Actinopteri; Labriformes; Labridae. The record is from RefSeq and is a predicted model, not a curated record.
CUGGGAGGACACUCGGGUGGGAUUUCGUUUCGCAGGGAGACGGGAGCACCAUCAGAUUUCGCGGCCAUGUUUGUUGUAGGGAAGAGAGUAGCACGAACGGCGAAGACACAGCAGGACCAGCUGAGACACCGUCCAUUUGGUAUUUCCAACCAGGAACCAUCAUGCUGUUGCCCGGCAAUGAAAGUACACAGGAUUUACUGAAGUAAAAGUACCAGAACUAUAAUUACUUUAAGAGAAUUGUAUCUAGUGGAGAUGGAGCUGUUGUUUAAUGAUUUACAAAGUUAGUUGGAUCACAAGGCACGUAAGGUCUGGUCAGUGGUCACAUAUCUGUAUUGGAGUACAAUCUUUUCAACAACUGGUUGUACUGCUGUAGCCUCAUAAACAUCUGAAAUGUGACAAUACCGACACACCAACUGUGCUUGGCUUCUUUUAAAUCUCUUCUUCAAAUCUUUUUGUGUGAAAGCUCCUGGAAAUGUUUGACUUCUUUAAAAAUCUUAUCCAAUUCACAUUCUACACUUCCUCUGUUCCUAGAUGUGUCCCAUGUCUGGUUUUAUUUUAUACAAGACUUUGAAACAUCGUAGUGCAAAAUAAAUUAUUAUUUUUUACUGUG